UGGUUCUGGCAUCGAUGAAGAACGCAGCGAAAUGCGAUAAGUAAUGUGAAUUGCAGAAUUCAGUGAAUCAUCGAAUCUUUGAACGCACAUUGCGCCCCCUGGUAUUCCGGGGGGCAUGCCUGUUCGAGCGUCAUUACAACCCUCAAGCUCUGCUUGGUGUUGGGCCCCGCCGCCCCGGCGGGCCCUAAAAUCAGUGGCGGUGCCGUCCGGCUCCGAGCGUAGUAAUUCUUCUCGCUCUGGAGGCCCGGGUGCGUGCUCGCCAGCAACCCCCAAUUUUUUCAGGUUGACCUCGGAUCAGGUAGGGAUACCCGCUGA
Molecule: unclassified non-coding RNA, 315 nt
Filed under: uncultured fungus
Lineage: Eukaryota; Fungi
Description: partial contains 5.8S ribosomal RNA and internal transcribed spacer 2
Rfam family: 5.8S ribosomal RNA (bases 1-133)
Source: RNAcentral